GCGGAGGAAAAGAAACCAACAGGGAUUGCCUCAGUAACGGCGAGUGAAGCGGCAACAGCUCAAAUUUGAAAUCUGGUCCCCUCUGGGGGCCCGAGUUGUAAUUUGAAGAGGAUGCUUUUGGCGAGGCGCCGUCCGAGUUCCCUGGAACGGGACGCCGCAGAGGGUGAGAGCCCCGUACGGUCGGACGCCGAGCCUCUGUAAAGCUCCUUCGACGAGUCGAGUAGUUUGGGAAUGCUGCUCAAAAUGGGAGGUAAACCCCUUCUAAAGCUAAAUACCGGCCAGAGACCGAUAGCGCACAAGUAGAGUGAUCGAAAGAUGAAAAGCACUUUGAAAAGAGAGUUAAAAAGCACGUGAAAUUGUUAAAAGGGAAGCGCUUGCGACCAGACUUGCGCCCGUCGGAUCAACCGUCGCUUGCGGCGGCGCACUCCGGCGGGCUCAGGCCAGCAUCAGUUCGCUCGGGGGGAGAAAGGCGGCGGGAAUGUAGCUCCUCGGAGUGUUAUAGCCCGCCGUGUAAUAC
RNAcentral lists this small RNA (517 nucleotides) under Scopulariopsis koningii. Its description in RNAcentral is "eukaryotic LSU rRNA". It matches the Rfam family "Eukaryotic large subunit ribosomal RNA", at positions 50 to 572 of the family's 3401-position model. Lineage: Eukaryota; Fungi; Ascomycota; Sordariomycetes; Microascales; Microascaceae. The record is from RNAcentral.